This is a non-coding RNA of Ictidomys tridecemlineatus (thirteen-lined ground squirrel), 810 nucleotides long. The record is from RefSeq and is a predicted model, not a curated record. NCBI's taxonomy places the organism in Eukaryota, Metazoa, Chordata, Mammalia, Rodentia, Sciuridae.
AAGAAUCCAUAGAGAGGAGACACAAAGGAGCAACAAUGAGAGGGAGUGAGUGUGAAGAGCAGGACUCUCACUUCAUGAGCCUGCAGUCUCUGCAAAAAUAGACCUGGAGAUUUUACCAAGAGGAGAGACCAAAAAUCAGAAAAAAUCAGCAUAAAAGAGCUUCCAGUUAAGCUAGUAAUUCAGAUGGCAACAGUUCACGAAACAGAUUGAGGGUUAUCUGUCAGUUUUUCCUGAAAUAAGACCCAGCCAGAUACUGAGCUGCGUAAAAUAGACCUAUUCCUUAGGAAUUACCAAAAGGAGAGGACAGGCAACUCCAUUCUGUCCUUUUCUCCAUAAAUGACUUGUCUUACUUCCUUUUUCUGCACUCUUACUCCCAGACCCACUAAAAACACCAACAUCCUAGAUGACUGCUUGGGCAUCCAAGGCAAUGGCUAUAGAAAUACCUGAUUCACAGCCCAUCCACCCAGGAUGACUACAUAGGAAAGCCCUCCUACUGGGUCUCAUCUCAGUGAAGUGGACUCAGAAAAGAGAGGUGGCCAGAUACACCGUGUUUUCAUAUUCAAGAGGACUGCAUGGGAUGACUUGUGGCAUACAGGCACAUAAUUUAAUGCAGGCCCUCUCCAUGGUCAUGGUGGGCUCCCGUCAGGACAGAGCCUGAAGCACUGGGCUGGAAUUCACCAGGAUCAGUGUCCACGAGGUCACUCUUCUUUAUCAGCAGACCAACAACAUAAUUUCCUACCUUUGUUACAUUUGCCCCAUCAUGUUCAACUCAAAGUAUCGAUAUUGGGACUCCAGGACACUUACACCAAA